Molecule: ribosomal RNA, 683 nt
Filed under: uncultured Bacteroidales bacterium
Lineage: Bacteria; Pseudomonadati; Bacteroidota; Bacteroidia; Bacteroidales
Description: bacterial SSU rRNA
Rfam family: Bacterial small subunit ribosomal RNA
Source: RNAcentral
UUAACACAUGCAAGUCGAGGGGCAGCAUUUUAGUUUGCUUGCAAACUGAAGAUGGCGACCGGCGCACGGGUGAGUAGCACGUAUCCAACCUGCCGAUAACUCCGGGAUAGCCUUUCGAAAGAAAGAUUAAUACCGGAUGGCAUACGAAUAUCGCAUGAUAUUUUUAUUAAAGAAUUUCGGUUAUCGAUGGGGAUGCGUUCCAUUAGUUUGUUGGCGGGGUAACGGCCCACCAAGACUACGAUGGAUAGGGGUUCUGAGAGGAAGGUCCCCCACAUUGGAACUGAGACACGGUCCAAACUCCUACGGGAGGCAGCAGUGAGGAAUAUUGGUCAAUGGGCGAGAGCCUGAACCAGCCAAGUAGCGUGAAGGAUGAAGGCUCUAUGGGUCGUAAACUUCUUUUAUAUGGGAAUAAAGUUUUCCACGUGUGGAAUUUUGUAUGUACCAUAUGAAUAAGGAUCGGCUAACUCCGUGCCAGCAGCCGCGGUAAUACGGAGGAUCCGAGCGUUAUCCGGAUUUAUUGGGUUUAAAGGGAGCGUAGGUGGAUUGUUAAGUCAGUUGUGAAAGUUUGCGGCUCAACCGUAAAAUUGCAGUUGAAACUGGCAGUCUUGAGUACAGUAGAGGUGGGCGGAAUUCGUGGUGUAGCGGUGAAAUGCUUAGAUAUCACGAAGAACUCCGAUUGCGAA